Rattus norvegicus (Norway rat) is the source of this 674-nucleotide non-coding RNA. The record is from RefSeq and is a predicted model, not a curated record. NCBI's taxonomy places the organism in Eukaryota, Metazoa, Chordata, Mammalia, Rodentia, Muridae.
CAGAUAUUCCUUCCGUAUAACUAUGGUUUACUAAUUGGCCUCUAAUUCAGAGUAAAGAGCCAUUUGGGAGGGAGAACAAAUAGGAUGAAGAGAUCAGAGAUGGGGAGAAGGAAGCUGGACAUCUUCUUGGCAUAAAAGAAAAGAAGAAACAAUGUGGUUCUUGGGAAACACCCUGGGGAGAUGGCUUUAGUUCUUUUGUUCUCUAGGUUCACCGAGCUCUUGGAGAAGUUGCUGAACAUCCUAAAGACCUUUGGGUUUUGAGCAUCUGAACUUGUGCCGAGUCCGUCUAAGUAGUCCCGGAGGUGGAAAGUCGCUCGUGUCUCUGCUGUUCAAGUGCUUACCCCGUUGGGCUCUUAAUAUUCUUGCCGUGAUGAUAUUUUUGAAAUAUCGAGUAUGCUACACAAUGGAAAGUAUUUGCUCUAGUCACAUAUAUUGAAAUUCUCAGUGUCUCUUGACAUCGUAUGCAAUUGCCUGGCCACAAAUCCUGGGAUGCUUUCAAUAGUACAUAUCUACAAUCACCCUUGCUUGGAGACAGGAGUUAACUGUUAUGCCUUCUUUGAAAGAAGAGGAAGAUCUAAGGCUACACUCCUCAGAGAAAGAAGAAAUAAUGAACUCUAGGAAGAAAUACACAUCUAGGCAACAAUAAAUGUUCCAAUCUAACCUGUGCAGUAAAA